This 492-nucleotide ribosomal RNA is filed under the name uncultured bacterium. RNAcentral describes it as "partial 16S ribosomal RNA". It matches the Rfam family "Bacterial small subunit ribosomal RNA", at positions 29 to 507 of the family's 1533-position model. The record is from RNAcentral.
AAUGAACGCUGGCGGCAGGCCUAACACAUGCAAGUCGAACGGCAGCACAGUAAGAUCUUGCUCUUACGGGUGGCGCGUGGCGGACGGGUGAGGAAUACAUCAGAAUCUACUUAUUCUGGGGGGAUUACGUAGGAAAACUUACGCUAAUACCGCAUAUGACCUACGGGUGAAUGCACGGGUUCUUCGGAACUUGCGCGUCUGAAUGAGCAGAAGUCGGAUUAGCUAGUUGGCGGGGUAAAGGCCCACCAACGCGACGAUCCGUAGCUGAUCUGACAGGAUGGUCAGCCAGACUGGAAGUGAGACACGGUCCAGACUCCGACGGGAGGCAGCAGUGGGGAAUCUUAGGCAAUGGGCGCAAGCCUGAUACAGCAAUACCGCGUGAGUGAUGAAGGACUUCGGGUGGUAAAGUCCUGUUGUUGGGAAAGAAGAGAAGCUGUUUAAACCAUGGAUGUACUGACGGUACCCAAAGAAUAAGCCCCGGCUAACUUCGUG